RNAcentral lists this ribosomal RNA (466 nucleotides) under uncultured bacterium. Its description in RNAcentral is "partial 16S ribosomal RNA". It matches the Rfam family "Bacterial small subunit ribosomal RNA", at positions 28 to 507 of the family's 1533-position model. The record is from RNAcentral.
GAUGAACGCUGGCGGCGUGCUUAACACAUGCAAGUCGAACGAUCAAGCCCAGCUUGCUGGGUGGUUUAGUGGCGAACGGGUGAGUAACACGUGAGUAACUUGCCCUUAACUCUGGGAUAAGUCUGGGAAACUGGGUCUAAUACCGGAUAGGAGCUCCUACCGCAUGGUGGGUGUUGGAAAGAUUUAUCGGUUUUGGAUGGACUCGCGGCCUAUCGGCUUGUUGGUGAGGUAUUGGCUCACCAAGGCGAAGCCGGGUAGCCGGCCUGAGGGGGUGAACGGCCACAAGGGGACUGAGAGACGGCCCAGACGCGUACGGGAGGCAGCAGUGGGGAAUAUUGCACAAUGGGCGAAAGCCUGAUGCAGCGACGCCGCGUGAGGGAUGACGGCCUUCGGGUUGUAAACAUCUGUCAGUAGGGAAGAAGCGAAAGUGACGGUACCUGCAGAAGAAGCACCGGCUAACUACGUG